Molecule: transfer RNA, 73 nt
Filed under: Stegodyphus mimosarum
Lineage: Eukaryota; Metazoa; Arthropoda; Arachnida; Araneae; Eresidae
Rfam family: tRNA
About the family: Transfer RNA (tRNA) molecules are approximately 80 nucleotides in length. Their secondary structure includes four short double-helical elements and three loops (D, anti-codon, and T loops).
Source: Rfam by way of RNAcentral
GCCUUCGUGGUGUAGUGGUUAGCACGCUCGACACGUAAAUAAGAGGUCCGUGGUUCGAUUCCCGGCGAAGGCU